GGACAGGUGAGUCAUCGAAUCUUUGAACGCACAUUGCGCCCGUUGUAUUGCGGUAGGCAUGCCUGUUCAAGCGCCAUUAUGCUCCCUCAAACCCCAGGUUUGGUGUUGGACCCAAGUUGAGUGAACGACUGGUCUCAAAGACAAUGACGGCGUUUAUGGAACCCUCAGCGCAACGAGCUUUCUCGGAGCAUUCAUCGAGCUGCGAGGAUCUUCCGGCCGGUUUCGUUUACUAUUUUGCCAAGGUUGACCUCGGAUCAGACAGGAAUGUUCACCGAACUUAAGCAUAUCAAUAAGCGGAGG
Molecule: unclassified non-coding RNA, 300 nt
Filed under: uncultured Ascomycota
Lineage: Eukaryota; Fungi; Ascomycota
Description: sequence contains 5.8S rRNA gene, ITS2
Source: RNAcentral